This 253-nucleotide ribosomal RNA is filed under the name uncultured bacterium. Its description in RNAcentral is "partial 16S ribosomal RNA". It matches the Rfam family "Bacterial small subunit ribosomal RNA", at positions 524 to 776 of the family's 1533-position model. The record is from RNAcentral.
UACGGAGGGUGCAAGCGUUAUCCGGAUUCACUGGGUUUAAAGGGUGCGUAGGUGGGUUGGUAAGUCAGUGGUGAAAUCUCCGUGCUUAACAUGGAAACUGCCAUUGAUACUACUGAUCUUGAAUUUUCUGGAGGUAAGCGGAAUAUGUCAUGUAGCGGUGAAAUGCUUAGAUAUGACAUAGAACACCAAUUGCGAAGGCAGCUUACUACACAAAUAUUGACGCUGAGGCACGAAAGCGUGGGGAUCAAACAGG